Molecule: long non-coding RNA, 1904 nt
Organism: Macaca mulatta (Rhesus monkey)
Lineage: Eukaryota; Metazoa; Chordata; Mammalia; Primates; Cercopithecidae
Source: RefSeq, a predicted model, not a curated record
CAUUGGCGCAGCAGGCGGAGCUGGGCGGUGCGACCCUCGGCGCGCGAUGCGCCUGUGCGGAAUGCAGCGGGAGGCGGGGCAGGCUCACGGUGGUCCCGGGGGGUGGCUGGGACGGCGCACCCAGGGGUGGUCCAGGGAGCAGCGGGGGUCUCCCUGCGGGCUCGCGCGAAACUGGGCUGGAUUCAAGGUUGAGGGGAGAGGGUAAGCGAAGGGGUCGCGGGCAUAGGGGACCGCGGGCCGGGGUCUCCCGCGGGGCGGGGGUCCCAGCAAUGGGGGUGCGAGGGCUUAGCCUUUCCACGUGGUCUGGUUUUCGCUUGAAAAUCCCCGCAAAUGCGGCGGUAUCUCAAUUAUACAUGGACGCGUUGUCUUGAAUCAUAAAAUACUGUUCAUGUCGUGCCGGUUGCAUAUCAGCUUUUAACCCCCCAAACCUUGGGGCGAAAUGGACCCCGGGGAGAUAAACACAGCUCCCAGAAGUGCACUGCGGGUCAGGAGCCUGGCAGAUGCGUCCUGUUCCUCCCCCACUGCAGCCCUGUGAUAGCGUUUAUCACCGAGUUGGGAUGAGGGCCGGGUCACAGGUUCACCCAGCCUGGGCUCCCAGCUGGGCGGGCCCGGCCUGGCAGAGUCUGUGCUCCUGGCACGGGGCCUCACUCCCCAGGACAGUUCCAGGGGCCUGGGCGGGCUGGAGAAGGAAGGGGGAGCCCCCACACUGUAUUCCAAAUAAUGGGAGGCCCGGGGGGGUGCUGCUGCCCUCGCCUGUGCCCUCGCCCUGGGGUGGUGAAGGUCCAGACAGGGAAACGGAAGUCGUUCCUAUGUCAGGGCAAAAGGCAAAACAAGGAAGGGGAAGCCCGAGGAGGGAGGAGCUGUGGCAGCCCCAGAGCCCAGGAGUGCAGCCCCCAGAGACCAGGGCUACCCCUCUACAGUGUCGGACUGUGCAGGAGGGGGCGCCUCCACCGUCUCGGGCUGGUCAGGAGGGGCCCUCUGCUGUCUGGGGCUGUGCAGGAGGAUGCCCUUCUACCGUCUCGGGCUGGGCAGGAGGGGCCCAUCUAUCUUCCCCGGCUGCGCACGAGAGGCCCUCCCCCGUGUUGUGCUGUGCAAGCAGUGAGCAAGCGCCGCCUCCUUGGGAGCUGGGAUCCCAGACGGGAUUCAGCCAUUUUCAGAGACCUACCGAGAAACAAGAAUGCCAGAUCAAUUCCUCGCCUGGCAUCUCCCACCAGCGCCAUCGCUGCAGGAGCCUCGCAGGAAGCCAGCGGGCAGAGGAGAGUGGGGAAGGAGCUUGCAGCCUCCCAGCGCCAGUGCUGCGGAGCAGAAGGUGGCUGGGAGGCCGAGAAGCCGUAAGAAAACAGCAGGGCCAGCCCAUGUGGCGCUCAGAUACAUGCUGUGUGUGUUUGCAUAUGUAGGGCCUGGAAAAACUCCACCUCCAUCCUUUUGAGGUCCUGGCUGAGCCCAAGAGUUAAAUCAAGAUAAGACAGAUCAUCAUGCCAACGUAUUUGAUUCAGGUUGGAUGUGGCUCGGGAGCCCUCCUAAGGAAAUGAAGACUCAGUGAAGCGGCCUCAGUCACUCGUGUGCUGAGUUGGACGGAGAACAGUGAGGUUCCAGGAAGCAGCUAGAUGAUGUGAGGGCCUGAAAAGGUGCCUACGAUGAGAACUGUUGCAGGGACUCCGACAGCACACAACAUUCCAGAUCAGCUCCUCCUAUGAAGACGCCUCCCCAGCAACAAUUGUGUUACCCGUGAGUGAUCACUAACCCUGCAAUAAGCUCCUGUACCCAGUGAAGUCUAUUCCAAAACAAUCUGUGUAGACUUCCUCAUCUCACCCAUAAAAGAAAGACACACGUACGGUCCCCUACAGCAUGCAUAUCCCAGAUUGCAAUCCCCUGCCAUCCCCCAGUGAACUUCGUUUGGGAGA